UGGAUUAAUAAUGGCUGCUGGUGCUGUAUGAGUCAUUGUUUGUGUCUGCAGGUCUGGGAGUCUGAGGUCCAC
Peromyscus maniculatus bairdii (prairie deer mouse) is the source of this 72-nucleotide small nucleolar RNA. The record is from Ensembl. NCBI's taxonomy places the organism in Eukaryota, Metazoa, Chordata, Mammalia, Rodentia, Cricetidae.